GCAAACUUGGUCAUUUAGAGGAAGUAAAAGUCGUAACAAGGUCUCCGUUGGUGAACCAGCGGAGGGAUCAUUACAAGAAGCCGAAAGGCUGCUUAAAACCAUCGCGAACCUAUCCAUCAGCGUUGCUUCGGCGGGAGGAGGCCGCGGGGCCGGAGUCUGCCGGGCCCGGGGCCGGGGACCCGCACCCUCUCGGGGGGUGCGGGGCCCGCCCGCCGGAGGUAUGAAACUCUUCUGCAUCUAUAGUGGAAUCUCUGAGUAAGCAAGCAAAUAAGUCAAAACUUUCAACAACGGAUCUCUUGGUUCUGGCAUCGAUGAAGAACGCAGC
RNAcentral lists this unclassified non-coding RNA (325 nucleotides) under uncultured fungus. RNAcentral's name for it is "partial contains small subunit ribosomal RNA, internal transcribed spacer 1, and 5.8S ribosomal RNA". The stretch from base 1 to 73 matches the Rfam family "Eukaryotic small subunit ribosomal RNA", at positions 1759 to 1831 of the family's 1831-position model. Lineage: Eukaryota; Fungi. The record is from RNAcentral.